Molecule: ribosomal RNA, 609 nt
Filed under: uncultured cyanobacterium
Lineage: Bacteria; Bacillati; Cyanobacteriota
Description: bacterial SSU rRNA
Rfam family: Bacterial small subunit ribosomal RNA
Source: RNAcentral
GAUGAACGCUGGCGGCGUGCUUAACACAUGCAAGUCGAACGAACCUUCGGGUUAGUGGCGGACGGGUGAGUAACGCGUGAGAAUCUGCCCUCAGGAGGGGGAUAACGGCUGGAAACGGCCGCUAAUACCCCAUAUGCCGAGAGGUGAAAUGAAUUUCGCCUGAGGAUGAGCUCGCGUCUGAUUAGCUAGUUGGUGUGGUAAAGGCUCACCAAGGCAUCGAUCAGUAGCUGGUCUGAGAGGAUGAUCAGCCACACUGGGACUGAGACACGGCCCAGACUCCUACGGGAGGCAGCAGUGGGGAAUUUUCCGCAAUGGGCGCAAGCCUGACGGAGCAACGCCGCGUGAGGGAUGAAGGCCUCUGGGCUGUAAACCUCUUUUAUCAAGGAAGAAGAUCUGACGGUACUUGAUGAAUAAGCCACGGCUAAUUCCGUGCCAGCAGCCGCGGUAAUACGGGAGUGGCAAGCGUUAUCCGGAAUUAUUGGGCGUAAAGCGUCCGCAGGCGGUCUUGAAAGUCUGUUGUUAAAGCGUGGAGCUCAACUCCAUUUCAGCAAUGGAAACUAGAAGACUAGAGUGUGGUAGGGGCAGAGGGAAUUCCCGGUGUAGCGGUGA